UACGUAGGCAGCAAGCGUUGUUCGGAGUUACUGGGUUUAAAGGGUGCGCAGGCGGAUAUGUAAGUCAGUGGUGAAAUCUCUAGGCUUAACCUGGAAAUUGCCGUUGAUACUAUAUAUCUUGAAUGCUGUGGAGGUAAGCGGAAUAUGUCAUGUAGCGGUGAAAUGCUUAGAUAUGACAUAGAACACCUAUUGCGAAGGCAGCUUACUACGCAGAUAUUGACGCUCAUGCACGAAAGCGUGGGGAUCAAACAGG
This 253-nucleotide ribosomal RNA is filed under the name uncultured bacterium. RNAcentral describes it as "partial 16S ribosomal RNA". It matches the Rfam family "Bacterial small subunit ribosomal RNA", at positions 524 to 776 of the family's 1533-position model. The record is from RNAcentral.